Dermacentor silvarum is the source of this 276-nucleotide long non-coding RNA. RefSeq lists it as uncharacterized. Lineage: Eukaryota; Metazoa; Arthropoda; Arachnida; Ixodida; Ixodidae. The record is from RefSeq and is a predicted model, not a curated record. The transcript has 3 exons.
UCAGAUGAUGACUUGCAUGCGGAAAAAAAUGAUCGGGGCAACGCCCAGGAUCAUUUUCCUAGCAUACCAGUGCCUGGGAAAGACUUUGUGCACCUCCCUGAUGGAUCAUUUCAUCUGGCAGAAGGUAUUGUUAUUUCUGCAAAUCAAGCAGCAAAAUCUUAAAUAACAAGAAGGCAACACUUGUGUGCAAAGACACCGCCCAAGCAAUAUGGGGCACGGAUGGCCUUGUGAACAGAAGUGUGAGUGGCGUUGCUGCCCCCAAGCUCAGAGCAGCUG